CACGUAGGGUGCGAGCGUUGUCCGGAAUUAUUGGGCGUAAAGGGCGCGUAGGCGGCGCAACAAGUCACUUGUGAAAUCUCCGGGCUUAACUCGGAAAGGUCAAGUGAUACUGUUGUGCUAGAGUGCGGAAGGGGCAACUGGAAUUCUCGGUGUAGCGGUGAAAUGCGUAGAUAUCGAGAGGAACACCUGCGGCGAAGGCGGGUUGCUGGGCCGACACUGACGCUGAUGCGCGAAAGCCAGGGGAGCGAACGGG
Molecule: ribosomal RNA, 253 nt
Filed under: uncultured bacterium
Lineage: Bacteria
Description: partial 16S ribosomal RNA
Rfam family: Bacterial small subunit ribosomal RNA
Source: RNAcentral